Molecule: non-coding RNA, 114 nt
Organism: Acanthosepion pharaonis
Lineage: Eukaryota; Metazoa; Mollusca; Cephalopoda; Sepiida; Sepiidae
Source: the annotation of a GenBank genome assembly
UUGCGGCUACAUCACAUUGAAUGACCGGUUUCCGUACUAUCACUGAAGUUAAGGACCGUCGAAUCUAGUCAGUACUUAGAUGGGUGACCUCUUAGGAACACCUGGUCAGUGCCU